AGUGUGGGGUUAAGAGCUGAAGGACAGGAUGCCCCCUUCCCCAGGAGCUGCUGGGGCUUUCGCUGGGCGUGUGCCUACCCACCCACCCACUGUGAGCUGUUGACUUGGUGAUGUGCAUUCCCUGGGAGAGGCCGUCUCACUUGUUUCCUCUCUGGGAUUCCUCCUUGGAGUGCUGGAAGGUGAGAGGGAGUGAGGAGCAGGCAGGGGCUGGGGCUGAUGGACACCCAGGGAAGCCUUCCAGUAGACAAACCCGAUGCAGGAAGACCUCCUUUUAUCACGUUUGUGGCUAGGAAUUGGGUCUUUUUGGAUUUGCCUCAAGGCUUCCCUAAGAAUCCUUUUUUCUUUUUCUUUCUUUUUUUCUUUUUUUUUAAAUGGAGUUUUCGCUCUUGUUGCCCAGGCUGGAGGGCAAUGGUGCAAUCUCGGCUCACUGCAACCUCUGCCUCCUGGGUUCAAGUGGUUCUCCUGUCUCAGCCUCCCAAGUAGCUGGGACUACAAGCACGUGCCACCAUGCCUGGCUAAUUUUUGUAUUUUUAGUACAGAUGAGGUUUCACCAUGUUGGCCAGGCUGGUCUCGAACUCCUGACCUCAGGUGAUCCACCUGCCUCGGCCUCCCAAAGUGCUGGGAUUACAGGUGUGAGCCGUCGCGCCUGGCCAGAAUCUUCUUUUAUUGAGUGUGCGUCUAAAAUAGAUUUCAAGUUACGGGUGGCAGCUGGAGACCCUACUGUUAGUGAGUAAGGAAAAUAACCAUCAGCUUCUUUACUCCCCAGGUGCUGGGUGGAGGGGAACACAGGCCAGGAAAUACUAAUGAUUGUGAUAAAGAGCUCCCCAGGGGCCGGAUGUGGUGGCUCAAGCCUGUAAUCCCAGCAUUCCACGAGGCCAAGGUGGGAGGAUUGUUUGGGCCCAGGAGUUUGAGACCAGCCUGGGCAACAUGGCAAGAUCCUGUCUCUACAAAAUAUAAAAAAUUAGCCAGGCAUGAUGGUGUGCGCCUGUGGUCCCAGCUACUUGGGAGGCUGAGGUGGGAGGAUUGCUUGAAUCUGGGAGGUCGAGGCUGCAGUGAGCUGUGAUCAUGUCACCUGCACUACAGCCUGGGCAACAGGGCAAGGCCCUGUGUCCAAAAAAAAAAAAAAAAAAAAAAGCCGGGCACGGUGGCUUACGCCUGCAGUCUCAGCACCUUGGGAGGCCGAGGCAGGCAGAUCAUGAGGUUAGGAGAUCGAGACCAUCCUGGCUAACAUGGUGAAACCCCGUCUUUACUAAAAAUACAAAAAUUAGCCGGGCGUGGUGGCGGAUGCCUGCAGUCCCAGCUACUCGGGAGGCUGAGGCAGGAGAAUGGUGUGAACCCGGGAGGCGGAGCUUGCAGUGAGCAGAGAUCACACCACUGCACUUCAGCCUGGGCGACAGAGCGAUACUCUGUCUCAAAAAAAAAGUCCCCAGGACCCAAGGAAGCUGCCCAGAAGUUUUCUGAAGAGGCUCCCUGCUGCAGCUCUGAAGAGGAACAGGCUGUGCUGCUGCCCCUGCUUUCAGGAUGCUUGCAGCUUUCUCCCGCUCUCUCAGUAAGGUCUGCUGAGCACUGCACUGACGGCUCCCAGUCCCCUCUCAGUGAAGACACCAAGAAGCAGCAGCCAAGCAGCAGUCGUGGCUGCCUCCCAGUGGCCCCGGCUGUAAUCUUCUGUUCAAGGUGCCCACACCAGAUCUCAGCUGUAGAAAGCAGAGAGGCUUCAGCUGCCCUAAGAGCUGGCUCUGCGGCUGGUGACUCAGCGGGGGUGAGGGUUGAGGCGGGGGAGUGGGGGUUGGGACUUGGGGCCUGAGGACUCAUCACUGAUGACAACAAAGCCCAGGGGAUUUUGUGCAGAAGACAGGAAGCUGAGUCCCAAGAACAAGCCCAGCAGCAGAACUGCAAAAUCUAAUGAAUCCCCAGUAAUUCCAUUUAUGCCACUGAAUCCUCCCUGUGGGUUCAGAAAAACAGAUCCCUGCUUCAUGCUUCCUAAAAAUGCAGCAUGAACCAAGAUCUAAAUUCCACAACCAAGUGACCCCUCUUUCUCUUUUCUGCUGCCCACCUUCCCCGCCCCAGCCCACACCCACCCCCAAGUCCACAAGAACAUCCAGAGUGAUGUGGGUGGAGAUUUUCCUUUAUUUGAUUUUAUUUUGGAGAGGAAGGGCUAGAGCAAAAAGAUGAUGCCAACACACCGGGCACUAGAAUGACCCCUGCACAUGCAGAACACACGGACACUCAAGCUGGAUUAGUGACUGAGCAAAUGUGCCCCGUGGAGAGAAUGUCACCAGAGCUGCAAAAGCCCCCCGACCCCAGCUUUUAUUAGUUUUAAGACCCCCAACCACACCCACCCCAGGUCUCCUUGUUUUCAGUAAGCAGACCUCCUAGCAAACUGGGCUUUUACUCCUGUGGGCUCAGUGCCACAUCCCCUCAAAUAAACAUGCAUCCUCUAGAGCAAAAGGGAAAUUGACAGGAUGCUGGAACGCCGAGAGAUGGGAUGCUUUAUUUUUCAUUAUCCACCAGCUUGGGAGAAAGGCCACCUUCCAUCGCACCAGUGAGAGGCGGGAAAGAGCGAUCGGGCCCUUUCCCGUCUCUCAGGCCUUGUGCAACAUGGCCCUGGCUGCUCACUCCAGCCCUGCCUGACUUUAAACAAACCCAGUCAGUACCCUUCCACCUCUUGCCUUGGGAAGAAGACAUUUGAGAGCUCACAGAUAUAGUGCAACCGGUUAUCCAAACCAACAUGUUCUCUUGCUCAGCUUCUGUUCUAUCCAAAGGUCUCAUCCUGCUCCCCCAAGGGGAUUUCUGAUAUCUGAAAACCCCAAACCUGACUCCAGGCCUCCCCAGCAACGUGUGAGCCCCAUGGAAUGUAUUUAUUUCAUUGCAACAACCCCUCACAACCCGGCCUUCCUGCAUUUCCCGAGCGGUCUUGGGUUUUUCUCAGCAUCUCUCCCGGUGGCGUGUUGUGGUGCCCUGACUUGGAGGUGUGCAGGGUGGCAGGGGAAGUAUCAGGUGCCUUUGCUUUCUGUCCUCUCCUCGUCAGCCGUCUGAGCGUUGCUGACAGCGCGAAGCUGCCCCUGGGCUGCAGGCUUCACCGACAGGACCAAGCGUUUGCGGAACGUCUCACAGAGCACGAUGUACACAAAGGGGUUGAGGCAGCUGUUGGCAUAGCCCAAGCUGAUGGCCGCAUUGUAUAAGUAGACAAAGGUGAGGGUCGGGCGGCUGAUGGACAACUGGGUCAGCUGUAGCACAUAGUAGGGUGCCCAGCACACAAAGAAGACCAGACAGAUGGCGAUGGCUGUGCGGGUCACCCUCUUUGUCCGCAGCCGGAUGCUGCGCUGGGAGGCGGGGGCCACUGAGGACGUCAUGCGCUGCAGGAUCCUCACGUAUGCGGCUGUGAUGACCACAAAAGGCAGGGCAAAGGCCAGGAAAAACUGGUACAGGGUGAACCAGUAGAGGUCAGUGUCUGGGUUGGGCAGGCGUAUGCCGCAGCCCACUGCACCUCCUGGGAAGGGGAUGAGUCUGGCAUACAGCCACACAGGGGUGAUGCUGAUGAAGGAGAGGGCCCACAGGAGGCAGAUCACCAGGGUGGCCACAGAGGGCUUCCGGAACUUCGUGGAAGAGAUGGGGUGGACAGUGGCCAGGUAGCGGUCAAUGGCCAUGGCGGUCAGGAUGUAGGUGCUGGUGAACUGACUAUUGGCAUCCAUGGCCGUGAUGAGGGUGCACAUGGUCUCCCCAAAGUGCCACACCCCAUUGCCCAUGAGCUGGUGGAUCAUGAAGGGCAUGCCCAGGAGAAAGAGGAGAUCUACUACCGAGAGGUUGAUGAUGAAGAUGUCGGGGACGUUGUUGCACCAGUGCAGCUUGGACUUCUUCACGACCGCGAAGAUGACCGUGGAGUUCCCGAUGAUGCCCAGGAGGCAGAUGGUGCCGAACACCGAAGGCAUGAUGAUGUUGAUGUAGGAGAUGCUCCCCGUGCGAGGAGGUGAUCCUGGGGACAGAAGGAGCAAGCGUUGGCUGUUUGACAUGGGCUUUGCUCUGAGAACUGACAUCCUGCUGGCAUGCUCAGCCUCCAGCGACCCACCGUUCAUCUGGAAUCCUCUCCCACCAUUCUCCCUCCCUUCACUGUUGCUAAUCUUGUCCCUUUUCCCUUCUCCAUGAGUUUCCUGGUGAAUCCUACCAGAGUGCCCUGAGCCAUCUGUCUUGGAAGGACACAACAUGCCUGCCUCCUGCAGGCACCAGAGGCAAGAACCACAGUUGUCUGCAGAGAUUACUCUGUGAGCCCCGGGCUUCACCAGGAAAACUCGUCAGCAUAGCCAGAAGGACACAAAAGCUCUACACAUCCCCAGUGAAAUGAGGAAGCCCACUUCAGCUGCUGCCGUCCCCGCUGGCAGCUCUCACCAGGGACUGUUCAGAGGCACCGGUAUUUCCCUUCCCAGUGAAUUUCUCAAAGUCUUGGUUUUCUGGGGGAUCAACUUAUGAGCAACCAAAAAAAAUACAAUGUUUACUACAAACUCUGUUAAGGGGUUAUUUAUUUUGAAAGCAACUGGGAGCCACUAAAAUGUUUUUUGUGUUUUUUUAGAUGGGGUCUUGCUCUGUUGCCCAGGAUGGAGUGCAGUGGCACGAUCUCGGCUCACUCCAACGUCUGCCUCCCAGGUUCAAGCCAUUCUCCUGCCUCAGUCCCACCCCAGCUCCCUGUCCCUAGUGGCUGGGACUACAGACGUACGCCGUUUCAUUCUGAAAUGUGUCUCCCGGUCUCGGAGGUGGGGCCUGCUGGGAGGUGAUCGGAUCAUGGCGGCAGAUCCCUUAUGAAUGGUUUAGCACUAUCCCCUUGGUGAUGAGUGACUUCUCACUCAGUUACUUCACAUGAGAGCUGCUUGUUUAAAAGUCUGGGACCUUGGCCAGGUGCGGUGGCUCACACUUGUAAUCCUAGCAUUUUGGGAAGACGAGGUGGGCGGAUUGCCUAAGCUCAGGAGUUCGAGAUCACCCUGGGCAACAUGGUGAAACCCCAUCUCUAUUAAAAUACAAAAAAUUAGGCUGGGCGCAGUGGCUCACACCUGUAAUCCCAGCACAUUGGGAGGCCGAGACGGGUGGAACACAAGGUCAGGAGAUCGAGACCAUCUUGGCUAACAUGGUGAAACCCUGUCUCUACUAAAAAGCACAAAAAAUUAGCCGGGCAUGGUGGCAGGCGCCUGUAGUCCCAGCUACUCAGGAAGCUGAGGCAGGAGAAUCACUUGAACCUGGGAGGUAGAGCUUGCAGUGAGCCAAGAUCACGCUACUGCACUCCAGCCUGGGUGACCGUGCAAGACUCCAUCUCAUAAAUAAAUAAAUAAAUAAAUACAAAAAAUCAGCUGGGUGUGAUGGCACACACCUAUAGUCCCAGCUACUCGGGAGGCUAAGGCAGGAGAAUCACUUGAACCCAAGAGGCGGAGGUUGCAGUGAGUCAAGAUCGCGCCACUGCACUCCAGCCUGAGCGACAGAGUGUGACUCUGUCUCCAAAAAAAAAAAAAAAAAAAAAAGUCUGGGACCUCCUCCCUCUCUCUUGCUCCCACUCUUGCCAUGUGACGUGCCUGCUCCCCCUUUACCUUCUGCCAUGAUUGCAAGCUUUCUGAGGCCUCAGCAGAAACCAAGCAGAUAUCAGCAACAUACUUCCUCUACAGCCUGCAGAACCAUGAGCCAAUUAAACCUCUUUUCUUUAUAAAU
This 5685-nucleotide long non-coding RNA is filed under the name Homo sapiens (human). RNAcentral's name for it is "non-protein coding lnc-MKL1-2:2". The record is from RNAcentral. Lineage: Eukaryota; Metazoa; Chordata; Mammalia; Primates; Hominidae.